CGUCAGCUCGUGUCGUGAGAUGUUCGGGUUAAGUCCCGCAACGAGCGCAACCCUUGUCUUUAGUUGCCAUCAUUUAGUUGGGCACUCUAAAGAGACUGCCGGUGUUAAACCGGAGGAAGUGGGACGACGUCAAGUCCUCAUGGCCUUUAUGCCCAGGGCUACACACGUGCUACAAUGGGCGGUACAAAGGGUCGCAAACCUGUGAAGGGGAGCUAAUCCCAAAAAGCCGUCCUCAGUUCGGAUCGGAGUCUGCAACUCGACUCCGUGAAGUUGGAAUCGCUAGUAAUCGUGGAUCAGCAUGCCACGGUGAAUACGUUCCCGGGCCUU
This 327-nucleotide ribosomal RNA is filed under the name uncultured Desulfobacca sp. RNAcentral's name for it is "bacterial SSU rRNA". It matches the Rfam family "Bacterial small subunit ribosomal RNA", at positions 1053 to 1382 of the family's 1533-position model. Lineage: Bacteria; Pseudomonadati; Thermodesulfobacteriota; Desulfobaccia; Desulfobaccales; Desulfobaccaceae. The record is from RNAcentral.